Long non-coding RNA from Anguilla anguilla (European eel), 897 nucleotides. RefSeq lists it as uncharacterized. NCBI's taxonomy places the organism in Eukaryota, Metazoa, Chordata, Actinopteri, Anguilliformes, Anguillidae. The transcript is spliced from 2 exons. The record is from RefSeq and is a predicted model, not a curated record.
CUGUAGCACUGACAUUUCAAUUAUAUUACGUCUAUUGAGAUAUGAUAGCUGUGAAAACAUCUCUGCUGCGUGUUGAUGAGUGGCCAAGAUAAGGAUCAGGUGUGAAAAAGCCAGCAAACGUAUCAAGCUUAACUGUCCAUAGUAGAAACCCCAACCUUAUUUGGUCAAAAUAUAAUUUAGUAAGCAAGUCAGGGAAGUAUAUAAGAUGAGUGUCAGGAGGGUCUGGGUCACUCAUCACUGAGUUAAGCCUUUGUAUUUUCCCUUAAAAAGUCAAGGCUGUGCGGUGUUUUCCAUUUGGAGCAGCGGUCUGCAGGUGCAAUCAUGAAGGCCACCUUCUCUCUGCUCUUCCUGAUCUUUGCCAUCACUUGCGCAAUGAUUACACAGGACACACCAUACGAAAAAUUCAUAGCUCAGCAUUACCAAAACGAAAUGACAGUGAAAGAGUGUAAUGAAAAGAUGGCUUUUAUCAACAAACGUUAUAAUUACAACCCUUGCAAAAGGGUCAACAGUGUCAUUUCUGCUUUGAGCCUGGACUCCGUCAACGCCGUUUGUGACGAGGAAGGGGAACCCUACCCCAUGCCGAAUCGCACAAAUCUUCAAAAAUCGUCGGAUCAAUUUCGUGUGAUCACCUGCAAUAGAUCAAACGAGAGUGGGUGCGAUUACACAGGAUCCGAAAGCAUGAGAUACAUCAUCGUUGGCUGCAAUGCCGGAAACUUACCUGUGCACUAUGAAGAAGAUCAUGAAUUUUAAGUGAAGAUACUUCUGACAUAUGUGAAGUUAAAAUGAUAAGGGCUAUGCUAAAAUUAAUGCACUCAUCUACCUGGAGCUUAUAACCAGUUGAAACAAUAUGCUUUACGACAGCAAUAAACAUCACUGCAAUAAAGGCUUUCACUGCAA